AUGUUGUAUCAUGCAAAUGCAUCUGAACAUAAUUUUCUCCAUAUGUCUCAUGGAUUAUUCAAUACAGCUACCUUUUUCUAUUUAACAACAUACAGUAUCCAUGUAAUUUUUGAAAAUACUCCACUAAAUACAAUUCACAGGUGGCGGAAACAUUUUUCGGGAUUCAUCGAUCUAAGCUUUAUUCGCGACCGUUUGGUGGAAAGCUACACUUGGGCCUAUGUGUUGUACUAUGAGAAAGGCUUUGAGCUCCAGCGAAGUAUCACCACCAAGAUGAUUGUACUAAUUACCACUUUAGAUGACACGUAUGAUAUCCGCGCCACCAUAGAGGAAUGUCGAAAGCUACAUGAAGCCAUACAAAGAUGGGAUAAGAUACGCGUUUCUCUUCUACCCGAGUACCUAAAGAAGUUAUAUAUCGAGCUGUUGAGGACCUUCGAAAAUAUUGAGGUUGAAAUGCCAGUCAAUGUGAAUUAUGAUACUGCCUACCUCAAGAAAGCGAUUCAAAAUCAUGUGACUGGUUAUCUCCAAGAAGCGGAAUGGUGUCACACGAAGCAUAAGCCAAGCUUUAAAAAUCAGGUGAAUGUGACUAGCUUAACUAUAGGUGCGCCAACCGUUUGCUUGAGUAUGAUGGCUAGCAUGGAUGAUACCAUAAUGAAAAGAGCAGUUGAGUGGGUAGCCGGUGUCCCUAAUGUCGUCAUAGCAGCAGGAAAGAUUGUGCGUUUCAUGAACGACAUUGCAGCAUAUGAGAACCGAAAGUGCAAGGGGGAUGCGGCAAGCUCCGUGGAGUGUUACAUCCAUGAGUAUGGCGUCACAGGCGAGGUUGCCAUCGCAAGGAUAUAUGAACUGAUUGAAGAUGAAUGGAGAACUCUGAACAAAGCUCGCUUUGAAAACCAUGCAUUGCUCCCCGCGCUGAAGCGUAUUAUCGGCUUGGCCCUUAGCACAUCAUUGUUCUAUGAUAACAGGAACGAUGUGUACACAGACAGCAAGCAUCUUCACAAAACUAUUAAGAGCCUCUUCGUCAAGCCUGUUUUGUCUGGCUAG
RNAcentral lists this ribosomal RNA (1038 nucleotides) under Triticum aestivum (bread wheat). RNAcentral's name for it is "partial small subunit ribosomal RNA". Lineage: Eukaryota; Viridiplantae; Streptophyta; Magnoliopsida; Poales; Poaceae. The record is from RNAcentral.